CUGGGCGUAAGCGCACGCAGGCGGUCAAUUAAGUCAGAUGUGAAAGCCCCGAGCUUAACUUGGGAAUUGCAUCUGAAACUGGUUGGCUAGAGUCUUGUAGAGGGGGGUAGAAUUCCAUGUGUAGCGGUGAAAUGCGUAGAGAUGUGGAGGAAUACCGGUGGCGAAGGCGGCCCCCUGGACAAAGACUGACGCUCAGGUGCGAAAGCGUGGGGAGCAAACAGGAUUAGAUA
Molecule: ribosomal RNA, 230 nt
Filed under: Proteus sp. (in: enterobacteria)
Lineage: Bacteria; Pseudomonadati; Pseudomonadota; Gammaproteobacteria; Enterobacterales; Morganellaceae
Description: Proteus sp. partial 16S ribosomal RNA
Rfam family: Bacterial small subunit ribosomal RNA
Source: RNAcentral